RNAcentral lists this ribosomal RNA (537 nucleotides) under Triticum aestivum (bread wheat). RNAcentral describes it as "partial small subunit ribosomal RNA". Lineage: Eukaryota; Viridiplantae; Streptophyta; Magnoliopsida; Poales; Poaceae. The record is from RNAcentral.
AUGCUGGCCCAGGCAUGGUCAACACGAGGCGAUCGAGCUGCUCUGCUCGUUACUGAAGAACAGAGGCAGCAGCAGGUUCGUGGCGAUGUAACGGCGACACAAGAGGUUCUGGAGACAGGGCGGCCGGUACCGGCUGGAACGGGGUGGAUCCAGUCGGCCGGCGUCGGUUCCGGGCAACGGCGGCGGUGGACAGAGCUCGGGCGCGUAGCUCAGCCAUCCAUGGCGUACUGCCGAUGGUGCACAGAGAGAGAUGUUAGAGAGAGGGGAAAACUCAGGCUUCAAUCCAAUCUAUCCCUGUACGGUCGAAGGGGGUUGUUUGAGCCCAACGUUAGUGUUAAAAAUCACCUCAUCUCCACUGGCGAACCCAGCCGCAACGCAUCCUUCACAUCACUGAUGGUGUAUCAUUCUCCAGUGUCUCAACAUAGUCUGCCUUUUAGUUAUCCAACGUCGAUGUUAUAUCAUUCAAACUCAAAGUUCAGCUUGCAAGCUCUUAUGUUAUUAUCUAACCAGUGUUUUGUUUCAAAUGCUUUGUCUUAA